RNAcentral lists this ribosomal RNA (520 nucleotides) under uncultured Glomus. RNAcentral describes it as "SSU rRNA". It matches the Rfam family "Eukaryotic small subunit ribosomal RNA", at positions 569 to 1087 of the family's 1831-position model. The record is from RNAcentral. Lineage: Eukaryota; Fungi; Glomeromycota; Glomeromycetes; Glomerales; Glomeraceae.
AGCAGCCGCGGUAAUUCCAGCUCCAAUAGCGUAUAUUAAAGUUGUUGCAGUUAAAAAGCUCGUAGUUGAAUUUCGGGAUCAAUACGUCGGUCGUGCUUCGGUACGUACUGGCGUCAUUGGUUUCUCCCUUCUGACGAACCAUGAUGUCAUUAACUUGGUGUCAUGGGAAAUCAGGACUGUUACUUUGAAAAAAUUAGAGUGUUUAAAGCAGGCUAACGCUUGAAUACAUUAGCAUGGAAUAAUGAAAUAGGACGUUCGAUCCUAUUUUGUUGGUUUCUAGGAUUGACGUAAUGAUUAAUAGGGAUAGUUGGGGGCAUUAGUAUUCAAUUGUCAGAGGUGAAAUUCUUGGAUUUAUUGAAGACUAACUACUGCGAAAGCAUUUGCCAAGGAUGUUUUCAUUAAUCAAGAACGAAAGUUAAGGGGAUCGAAGACGAUCAGAUACCGUCGUAGUCUUAACCCAUAAACUAUGCCGACUAGGGAUCGGAUGAUGUUAAUUUUUUAAAUGACUCAUUUCGGCGCC